Molecule: ribosomal RNA, 269 nt
Filed under: uncultured bacterium
Lineage: Bacteria
Description: partial 16S ribosomal RNA
Rfam family: Bacterial small subunit ribosomal RNA
Source: RNAcentral
AUUAAGAGCUUGCUCUUAUGAUUAGUGGCGCACGGGUGAGGUAAUAUAUAGGUAAUGGUACCUCUUAGCUUGGGAUAGCCACUGGAAACGGUGAUUAAUACCGGAUACUCCUUUUCAUUUUCAAGAUGAAUCGGGAAAGUUUUUCGCUUAAGAGAUCGGCCUAUAUCCUAUCAGCUAGUUGGUGAGGUAAUGGCUCACCAAGGCAAUGACAGGUAGCGGGUUUGAGAGGAUGGUCCGCCACACUGGUACUGAGACACGGACCAGACUCC